Molecule: ribosomal RNA, 1105 nt
Filed under: Pseudomonas aeruginosa
Lineage: Bacteria; Pseudomonadati; Pseudomonadota; Gammaproteobacteria; Pseudomonadales; Pseudomonadaceae
Also listed under: 1 other name
Description: partial 23S ribosomal RNA
Rfam family: Bacterial large subunit ribosomal RNA
Source: RNAcentral
CUUAAACAACCAGGAGGUUGGCUUAGAAGCAGCCAUCCUUUAAAGAAAGCGUAAUAGCUCACUGGUCUAGUGAUUCUGCGCGGAAAAUAUAACGGGGCUAAAAUGAGUACCGAAGCUUUAGACUUAGUUUUACUAAGUGGUAGGAGAGCGUUGUAUUUGCGUUGAAGGUAUACCGGUAAGGAGUGCUGGAGCGAAUACAAGUGAGCAUGCAGGCAUGAGUAGCGAUAAUUGGGGUGAGAAUCCCCAACGCCGUAAACCCAAGGUUUCCUACGCGAUGCUCGUCAUCGUAGGGUUAGCCGGGUCCUAAGCAAAGUCCGAAAGGGGUAUGCGAUGGAAAAUUGGUUAAUAUUCCAAUGCCAACUAUAAUGUGCGAUGGAAGGACGCUUAGAGUUAGAGGAGCCAGCGGAUGGUAGUGCUGGUCGAAAGGUGCAGGUUGGAGUUCAGGCAAAUCCGAACUCCUUUAAGCCGAGGCCUUACAGGUGCGUGAAGUUCUUCGGAAUGAAUCGUAAAUCCUUGAUACUGUCGAGCCAAGAAAAGUUUCUAAGUUUAGUUAUAGUUGCCCGUACCGUAAACCGACACAGGUGGGUGGGAUGAGUAUUCUAAGGCGCGUGGAAGAACUCUCUUCAAGGAACUCUGCAAAAUAGCACCGUAUCUUCGGUAUAAGGUGUGCCUAACUUUGUGAAGGAUUUACUCCGUAAGCAUUGAAGGUUACAACAAAGAGUCCCUCCCGACUGUUUACCAAAAACACAGCACUCUGCUAACUCGUAAGAGGAUGUAUAGGGUGUGACGCCUGCCCGGUGCUCGAAGGUUAAUUGAUGACGUUAGCUCUGCGAAGCGUUUGAUCGAAGCCCGAGUAAACGGCGGCCGUAACUAUAACGGUCCUAAGGUAGCGAAAUUCCUUGUCGAUUAAAUAUCGACCUGCAUGAAUGGCGUAACGAGAUGGGAGCUGUCUCGAAGAGGGAUCCAGUGAAAUUGUAGUGGAGGUGAAAAUUCCUCCUACCCGCGGCAAGACGGAAAGACCCCGUGGACCUUUACUACAGCUUGACACUGCUAUUGGGAUAAAAAUGUGCAGGAUAGGCGGGAGGCUUUGAUCCAUAGACGCCAG